AACGAACGCUGGCGGCAGGCCUAACACAUGCAAGUCGAGCGAGGACUUCGGUCCUAGCGGCGGACGGGUGAGUAACGCGUGGGAACGUGCCCUUUGCUUCGGGAUAGCCCUGGGAAACUGGGAGUAAUACCGGAUGAGCCCUUUGGGGGAAAGAUUUAUCGGCGAAGGAUCGGCCCGCGUUGGAUUAGGUAGUUGGUGGGGUAAUGGCCUACCAAGCCGACGAUCCAUAGCUGGUUUGAGAGGAUGAUCAGCCACACUGGGACUGAGACACGGCCCAGACUCCUACGGGAGGCAGCAGUGGGGAAUCUUAGACAAUGGGGGAAACCCUGAUCUAGCCAUGCCGCGUGAGCGAUGAAGGCCUUAGGGUUGUAAAGCUCUUUCAGCUGGGAAGAUAAUGACGGUACCAGCAGAAGAAGCCCCGGCUAACUCCGUG
RNAcentral lists this ribosomal RNA (433 nucleotides) under uncultured bacterium. RNAcentral's name for it is "partial 16S ribosomal RNA". It matches the Rfam family "Bacterial small subunit ribosomal RNA", at positions 29 to 507 of the family's 1533-position model. The record is from RNAcentral.